GGGCCAAUGCUCAGUCUUAGAGCAUCUGCUUUGCAUGCAGAAAGUCCCAAGUUCAAUUCCUGGCAUCUCCA
This 71-nucleotide transfer RNA is filed under the name Podarcis lilfordi (Lilford's wall lizard). RNAcentral describes it as "tRNA.Ala". The stretch from base 9 to 63 matches the Rfam family "tRNA", at positions 10 to 63 of the family's 71-position model. Rfam says of the family: Transfer RNA (tRNA) molecules are approximately 80 nucleotides in length. Their secondary structure includes four short double-helical elements and three loops (D, anti-codon, and T loops). Further hydrogen bonds mediate the characteristic L-shaped molecular structure. tRNAs have two regions of fundamental functional importance: the anti-codon, which is responsible for specific mRNA codon recognition, and the 3' end, to which the tRNAs corresponding amino acid is attached (by aminoacyl-tRNA synthetases). tRNAs cope with the degeneracy of the genetic code in two manners: having more than one tRNA (with a specific anti-codon) for a particular amino acid; and 'wobble' base-pairing, i.e. permitting non-standard base-pairing at the 3rd anti-codon position. The record is from RNAcentral. Lineage: Eukaryota; Metazoa; Chordata; Lepidosauria; Squamata; Lacertidae.